ACGAGACUGAAUGCAGGGCAGGUGUGAAGGGAAAAGCAGGCUGAAGAGGAGUACAUGAAUGCAAGAAGGACACAGAGAGCAAAGAGAAACAAACAUUCUCAUUCUUAACCAGUCCAACAAACAGGGAAAAAGUCUGAGGGCAUCUGGUGGACUGCUGGAUAAUGGCAACCAUGGAACAUAGAGCCAGACUGGGACAGAACCAUGACAAACUGACCGUUUUGUUACAUCACCAUUUAACCCUUGAUUUGUGACCCAAAAUGUUUAUGUUUGGAAGGAGCCAGUACAAUUUAGUGUUAUCAGUGUCCCUGUGCAGAAAGUCAUAUUUUUGUACCACAAAAUGCUUUUGUGCUGACUUUAAUAUCACAAACCCAUAACACUGAGUCCAAAGAUGAAUGUUAUUUGCCCUGAAGUAGGUUUAAAACAUAUCAGACUGCUCUCUGUCAAUCAAAUAUCUUUGUGCUUUGUGCUCAAAGUUAUUAAAAACCUGUCAAUGUCAUUGGCCUAGAAAUUGAUCAAAUUUUGUUCUGAAACACUGAUAAUAUAGUGGGGAUGGAAGUUAAUUAAACUUUGUACUCAUGUUU
Molecule: long non-coding RNA, 581 nt
Organism: Thunnus maccoyii (southern bluefin tuna)
Lineage: Eukaryota; Metazoa; Chordata; Actinopteri; Scombriformes; Scombridae
Exons: 2
Source: RefSeq, a predicted model, not a curated record